RNAcentral lists this ribosomal RNA (441 nucleotides) under Paraclimenaeus dentimanus. RNAcentral describes it as "partial 16S ribosomal RNA". It matches the Rfam family "Archaeal large subunit ribosomal RNA", at positions 1998 to 2642 of the family's 2987-position model. The record is from RNAcentral. Lineage: Eukaryota; Metazoa; Arthropoda; Malacostraca; Decapoda; Palaemonidae.
UUUUAAAGGGCCGCGGUAAUUUGACCGUGCGAAGGUAGCAUAAUCAAUAGCCUUUUAAUUGGGGGCUUGAAUGAAUGGCUGGAUGAGAGAUUAGCUGUCUUUUUCUUAUUAUUAGAAUUUAACUUUUAAGUGAAAAGGCUUAAAUUUUCUGGAGUGACGAUAAGACCCUAUAAAACUUAAUAUAGUGAUUGAUUUGUUUAAGGAUUAUGGUUAAAUUAUAGAUUUGUUUUUAUAUUUCGUUGGGGAGAUGAAGAUAUAAAUAAAUAACUGUCUGAGGAAUAAAAUAAUUAUUAUUAGAUUAUGAUCCCUCAUUUAGGAUUAAAAGUUAAAGUUACUUUAGGGAUAACAGCGUAAUUAUCUUUGAGAGUUCUUAUCGACAGGAUUAGUUGCGACCUCGAUGUUGAAUUAAAAUUUCAGAUUGGUGUAGCAGCUUUUCUGGUA